CAAAUCCCUACUCAGCAGAUAAAUGGCCGGAUAGCAAGAGGAGUCUACUGGAAAACAGAGCAUCCCCAGGUCUCCAUGGCAGCUGGGACCAAGAGAAAUGUCUUCCAGGUCUGAAGCCAGGCACCCACGUCACAUGCUUCUUCC
RNAcentral lists this long non-coding RNA (144 nucleotides) under Mustela putorius furo (domestic ferret). Its description in RNAcentral is "lncRNA (ENSMPUG00000029425.1)". The record is from RNAcentral. Lineage: Eukaryota; Metazoa; Chordata; Mammalia; Carnivora; Mustelidae.